GUCAUUUACGGCUAAUGACGGCUUUCCUUGCAUUUGAGCAUGGUUGGUGGCUAUUAGUUGUGUGAUUUCGGGGAUGUCUUCCGUAAAGGUGCAUGAGUGGUGUCUGGUUUGUUACGGGUGGUUGGCUCUUUGCUUGCGCAACAACUUCCACCUGGCAUUCCUCUUCAUUUUUGUUUCAAUGCCUUUAAUGGCAUUGAAUGCACGUUGGGUUUCUUGUGUUGAAUGCCAAAUUGAUGGUAACGUAUGAUGAACCGAUGGUCAAUUUCGUCUUUUGUUGCACACGCGAUGCAAGACGAACUUUUAAGCAGCCUUUGUGAUCCACUCUUUUGAUGCCCGUGCAUUGAUCUAGUGGCUCUUUGAGUCCUUGCUUGGUCUCAUGGAUACGGAACCUUGUGUGGGCAUGUGAUCUUUUACUAGAUCAUUGUUUGUCCAAGCUAAGCUUUUUCAAAUACGAUAAUAUCCUAUCAUGUCCUUACGUGGUAGGCUAUAUCGAAUAUGAAUGCUACCUGG
RNAcentral lists this unclassified non-coding RNA (510 nucleotides) under Pterochaeta paniculata. RNAcentral's name for it is "partial external transcribed spacer". Lineage: Eukaryota; Viridiplantae; Streptophyta; Magnoliopsida; Asterales; Asteraceae. The record is from RNAcentral.